This 331-nucleotide ribosomal RNA is filed under the name uncultured bacterium. RNAcentral describes it as "partial 16S ribosomal RNA". It matches the Rfam family "Bacterial small subunit ribosomal RNA", at positions 338 to 666 of the family's 1533-position model. The record is from RNAcentral.
CCUACGGGUGGCUGCAGUGAGGAAUAUUGGUCAAUGGACGAAAGUCUGAACCAGCCAUGCCGCGUGCAGGAAGACUGCUCUAUGAGUUGUAAACUUCUUUUAUACGAGAGUAAACGCAGAUACGCGUAUCUGUCUGUAAGUAUCAUACGAAUAAGGAUCGGCUAACUCCGUGCCAGCAGCCGCGGUAAUACGGAGGAUUCGAGCGUUAUCCGGAUUUAUUGGGUUUAAGGGGUGCGUAGGCGGUCUGAUAAGUUAGUGGUGAAAGUCCGAGGCUCAACUGUGGAAUUGCCUUUGAUACUGGUCGUCUAGAGAGCAGUUGAGGUAGGCGGAA